This 397-nucleotide ribosomal RNA is filed under the name uncultured bacterium. RNAcentral's name for it is "partial 16S ribosomal RNA". It matches the Rfam family "Bacterial small subunit ribosomal RNA", at positions 523 to 918 of the family's 1533-position model. The record is from RNAcentral.
AUACGUAGGGGGCGAGCGUUGUCCGGAAUGAUUGGGCGUAAAGGGCGCGUAGGCGGCCCGGUAAGUCUGGAGUGAAAGCCCCCGGCUUAACCGGGGAGGGUCAUUGGAAACUGGGAGGCUUGAGUGCAGAAGAGGAGAGUGGAAUUCCAUGUGUAGCGGUGAAAUGCGUAGAUAUAUGGAGGAACACCAGUGGCGAAGGCGACUCUCUGGUCUGUAACUGACGCUGAGGCUCGAAAGCGUGGGGAGCAAACAGGAUUAGAUACCCUGGUAGUCCACGCCGUAAACGAUGAGUGCUAAGUGUUGGAGGGUUUCCGCCCUUCAGUGCUGCAGCUAACGCAUUAAGCACUCCGCCUGGGGAGUACGGCCGCAAGGCUGAAACUCAAAGGAAUUGACGGGG